Molecule: non-coding RNA, 25 nt
Filed under: Rattus norvegicus (Norway rat)
Lineage: Eukaryota; Metazoa; Chordata; Mammalia; Rodentia; Muridae
Source: RNAcentral
UGGUAGCUUUGCACCCCAUGUCUGC